UGUCAAAUCAUCAUGCCCCUUAUGUUCUGGGCUACACACGUACUACAAUGGGAAUCACAACGGGAAGCCAAGCCGCGAGGUGGAGCAAAUCCCCAAAAAGUUCCCUCAGUUCGGAUAGGAGUCUGAAACUCGGCUCCUUGAAGCUGGAAUUGCUAGUAAUCGCGAAUCAGCAUGUCGCGGUGAAUACGUUCCCGGGCCUU
This 200-nucleotide ribosomal RNA is filed under the name uncultured prokaryote. RNAcentral describes it as "partial 16S ribosomal RNA". It matches the Rfam family "Bacterial small subunit ribosomal RNA", at positions 1183 to 1382 of the family's 1533-position model. The record is from RNAcentral.